GGAUGCGUGCCCGAGUGGACUAAGGGGCCUGCCUCGAAAACAGUGCUGCCGGGCGCAAGUUCGGCUCGAGAGUUCGAAUCUUCUCCGCAUCCG
RNAcentral lists this transfer RNA (93 nucleotides) under Variovorax sp. WDL1. RNAcentral describes it as "tRNA-Ser". It matches the Rfam family "tRNA". Rfam says of the family: Transfer RNA (tRNA) molecules are approximately 80 nucleotides in length. Their secondary structure includes four short double-helical elements and three loops (D, anti-codon, and T loops). The record is from RNAcentral. Lineage: Bacteria; Pseudomonadati; Pseudomonadota; Betaproteobacteria; Burkholderiales; Comamonadaceae.